GUAGGUGAACCUGCGGAAGGAUCAUUAACACGAACUACAAUUAUCCACUAUUCCAACCAAACGUGAACUUUUCCCCUCCCUAGUGCUUUAUUUGUUUAUUGCAUUAGGCUAAACUGUUGUUCUAUACUUAAUACUAUAGAACCUACACACCCCAUACAAACAAACAAACCUAUGGUCUUGAUUUGAAACUCAUUACCACUUCAUACAUCCGAACAUGACCAGUGGUCCUAGUUGACUCGGUCUGUUCUGUUCUAAUAACGAACUGAAAAGAGAAAUACAACUCUUAACAAUGGAUAUCUUGGUUCUC
Molecule: unclassified non-coding RNA, 307 nt
Filed under: rhizosphere metagenome
Description: partial ribosomal RNA internal transcribed spacer region
Source: RNAcentral